GAGUUUGAUCAUGGCUCAGGAUGAACGCUAGCGGCGGGCCUAAUACAUGCAAGUCGAACGGUGCAGCAAUGCAUAGUGGCAGACGGGUGCGUAACGCGUAUGCAACCUACCUUUAUCGGGGGACAACAUUUCGAAAGAAGUGCUAAUACCGCGUAAGAUAGUAGUGGGACAUCCCACAGCUAUUAAACUUUCGGGGAUAGAAGAUGGGCAUGCGUCUGAUUAGCUAGUUGGCGGGGUAACGGCCCACCAAGGCGACGAUCAGUAGGGGAACUGAGAGGUUGAUCCCCCACACUGGCACUGAGAUACGGGCCAGACUCCUACGGGAGGCAGCAGUAGGGAAUAUUGGGCAAUGGACGGAAGUCUGACCCAGCCACGCCGCGUGCAGGAGGAAGGCGCUCUGCGUUGUAAACUGCUUUAGCAGGGGAAGAAAAGACUCAUGCGUGAGGAAUUGACGGUACCCUGAGAAUAAGCACCGGCUAACUACGUG
RNAcentral lists this ribosomal RNA (487 nucleotides) under uncultured bacterium. RNAcentral describes it as "bacterial SSU rRNA". It matches the Rfam family "Bacterial small subunit ribosomal RNA", at positions 9 to 507 of the family's 1533-position model. The record is from RNAcentral.